AUGGCCAUACCAUGCUGAAUAUACCGGUUCUCGUUAGAUCACCGAAGUCAAGCAUCAUUGGGCGAGGUCAGUACUUGGGUGGGUGACCACCUGGGAACACCACGUGCCGUU
Molecule: ribosomal RNA, 111 nt
Filed under: Caerostris darwini
Lineage: Eukaryota; Metazoa; Arthropoda; Arachnida; Araneae; Araneidae
Source: RNAcentral